Non-coding RNA from Delftia acidovorans SPH-1, 28 nucleotides. Lineage: Bacteria; Pseudomonadati; Pseudomonadota; Betaproteobacteria; Burkholderiales; Comamonadaceae. The record is from Rfam.
GUUCGCUGCCGCAUAGGCAGCUCAGAAA